RNAcentral lists this ribosomal RNA (382 nucleotides) under uncultured eukaryote. RNAcentral describes it as "partial 18S ribosomal RNA". It matches the Rfam family "Eukaryotic small subunit ribosomal RNA", at positions 592 to 975 of the family's 1831-position model. The record is from RNAcentral.
CAAUAGCGUAUAUUAACGUUGUUGCAGUUAAAAAGCUCGUAGUUGGAUUUCUGGUGGGAGCGAUCGGUCUGGCGCUUAGCGCGAGUACUUGCAUCGUCUCCGGCCAUCCUUGGGGAGAGUCUGUCUGGCAUUAGGUUGUCGGGCAGAGGAUCCUCAUCGUUUACUGUGAAAAAAUUAGAGUGUUCAAAGCAGGCUUAUGCCGUUGAAUAUAUUAGCAUGGAAUAAUAAGAUAGGACUUUGGUACUAUUUUGUUGGUUUGCGCACCAAAGUAAUGAUUAAUAGGGACAGUUGGGGGUAUUCGUAUUCCGUUGUCAGAGGUGAAAUUCUUGGAUUUACGGAAGACGAACUACUGCGAAAGCAUUUACCAAGGAUGUUUNCAUUA